GACGAACGCUGGCGGCGUGCUUAACACAUGCAAGUCGAGCGGUAAGGCCCUUUCGGGGGUACGACGAGCGGCGAACGGGUGAGUAACACGUGGGUGACCUGCCCUCAGCUCUGGGAGUAAGCCUGGGAAACCGGGGUACUAAUACCGGAUAUGACUCCAUGACGCAUGUUGUGGGGUGGAAAGCCUUGUGCGGCUGAGGAUGGGCCCGCGGCCUAUCAGCUUGUUGGUGGGGUGAUGGCCUACCAAGGCGACGACGGUAGCCGCCUGAGAGGGCGACCGGCCACACUGGGACUGAGACACGGCCCAGACUCCUACGGGAGGCAGCAGUGGGGAAUCUUGCGCAAUGGGGCGAAAGCCUGACGCAGCGACGCCGCGUGAGGGAUGACGGCCU
This 391-nucleotide ribosomal RNA is filed under the name uncultured bacterium. Its description in RNAcentral is "bacterial SSU rRNA". It matches the Rfam family "Bacterial small subunit ribosomal RNA", at positions 28 to 417 of the family's 1533-position model. The record is from RNAcentral.